This 73-nucleotide transfer RNA is filed under the name uncultured marine group II/III euryarchaeote AD1000_57_F12. RNAcentral describes it as "tRNA-Arg". It matches the Rfam family "tRNA". Rfam says of the family: Transfer RNA (tRNA) molecules are approximately 80 nucleotides in length. Their secondary structure includes four short double-helical elements and three loops (D, anti-codon, and T loops). Lineage: Archaea; Methanobacteriati; Methanobacteriota. The record is from RNAcentral.
GGGCGUGUAAAUGUAGUGGAUAUCACUUGGGACUGCGACUCCCUCGACCUGGGUUCGACCCCCAGCACGCCCA